AGCCACACAAAUAUCUGGCCUCUGUGGAUCAUCCACACGAGGCUCCCGUCUGAUCAGCUCCUCACGAAUGCUAGUUCGUGAUUUCACCCUUUUGAUGGCAGAUGUUGAUCGAACUCCUUCGAUCGAUGUGUGCCGACUUCUCGGAUGCUCCGGAUCAUCUGCACAGUUGCUUGAGAGGUUGAUGGAUCUCUCCCUGAAAUUUGGUGGACUCACGACACUCGUGGCACACCAAUCUCACUUCCCGAACCCUAGGUAGAAACCUUAGGGUACACACCAAAAACCCUGCGCCCAAUUUUCUCUCUUUUGUUUCUUUUUCUCUCGAAAGGUUUUGGACCUUCACCUUACACAGAAGCCUUCCUCAUGCCCCAAAGUUUUUCUCCUAUAAUUUUUAUGCACGUCCCACCUUUCUCCUCUUUUUAAAACAACGUCGAACGUGUCUUAUUCGCGUGAGAGGAUAAAGACAAGAGGUUACACAUUUGAAUUCAAAUCAAAUUUGAAUUCAAACGAAAACCAACUUAUCCCUAUCCUUUUAGGCGUGAGAAGAGAAGG
This 549-nucleotide long non-coding RNA is filed under the name Elaeis guineensis (African oil palm). RNAcentral's name for it is "long non-coding RNA (EGUI_LNC040287)". Lineage: Eukaryota; Viridiplantae; Streptophyta; Magnoliopsida; Arecales; Arecaceae. The record is from RNAcentral.